GACGAACGCUGGCGGCGUGCUUAACACAUGCAAGUCGAACGGUAAGGCCCUUCGGGGUACACGAGUGGCGAACGGGUGAGUAACACGUGGGUGAUCUGCCCUGCACUUCGGGAUAAGCCUGGGAAACUGGGUCUAAUACCGGAUAGGACCACUGCCUGCAUGGGUGGUGGUGGAAAGCUUUUGCGGUGUGGGAUGGGCCCGCGGCCUAUCAGCUUGUUGGUGGGGUGAUGGCCUACCAAGGGGACGACGGGUAGCCGGCCUGGGAGGGUGACCGGCCAGACUGGGACUGAGAUACGGCCCAGACUCCUACGGGAGGCAGCAGUGGGGAAUAUUGCACAAUGGGCGCAAGCCUGAUGCAGCGACGCCGCGUGAGGGAUGACGGCCUUCGGGUUGUAAACCUCUUUCAGCACCGACGAAGCGCAAGUGACGGUAGGUGCAGAAGAAGGACCGGCCAACUACGUGCCAGCCGCCGCGGUAA
RNAcentral lists this ribosomal RNA (478 nucleotides) under uncultured bacterium. Its description in RNAcentral is "partial 16S ribosomal RNA". It matches the Rfam family "Bacterial small subunit ribosomal RNA", at positions 28 to 523 of the family's 1533-position model. The record is from RNAcentral.